Long non-coding RNA from Culex pipiens pallens (northern house mosquito), 4206 nucleotides. RefSeq lists it as uncharacterized. The record is from RefSeq and is a predicted model, not a curated record. The transcript is spliced from 2 exons. Lineage: Eukaryota; Metazoa; Arthropoda; Insecta; Diptera; Culicidae.
ACAAUUUAUUGUUGGGUGUGACGCUAAUGCUCAUCACACAGUAUGGGGUAGCGCUAACAUUAACAAUAGAGGUGAUAAUUUGCUCGAUUACAUAACAACUAACAAUAUUGACAUUUGUAACAAUGGUGAUAAUCCCACUUUUGUUACAACAACAAGACAGGAGGUUCUUGACCUCACGUUUUGUAGCGAAGUUAUUUCUGAAAGAGUUAUAAAUUGGAAGGUUUCUGAUGAAAUAUCACUCUCAGACCAUAAACAAAUUGAAUUCGAAUACAAUGCAGGUGAAAUGAUAGUUGGAAGUUAUAGAAAUCCCAAGAAAACCAAUUGGGACUCCUAUAAACUUCUUCUAAAUGACUACGAUUUCAAUUCCGAAGCCGAAAUCCGUACUGUUGAUCAGUUGGAGAAGGCUUCGUCUGAAUUAAUUAUUGCUAUAACCAAUUCUUACUCCGCUAGUUGUCCAGUUCAGCACAGAUCUUCAAAUCGUGAGGUAUCUUGGUGGAAUGAAAAAUUAGCUGCGUUAAGGAAAAAAUCUAGAAGGUUGUUCAACAGAGCAAAAAAAAUCUGGAGAUUGGGACUCAUAUAAAAAAGCCCUGACUGAAUACAAUUAAGAAAUAAAACGUUCUAAAUGCAACGACUGGAGACGUUCGUGUGAAAAAAUCGAGGAAACUCCAAUAGUCGCAAGAUUACAAAAAGCUCUUUCCAAAGAUCAUUCAAACGGUCUAGGAAAUCUUAAAAAGGCAGAUGGGUGUUUUACAAAAAAUGCAUCCGAAACUCUGAAUUUAAUGAUGGAAUCUCACUUUCCUGGCUCGACCAAGGUAAUAAGUUGUAUAGAUCAGGCCGUGGGCGAAAGACUGACAAAAGAUUGGUUUGUACUUGCCCAUAAUCAAGCCUGUGAAAUAUUUACUCGUUUCAAGGUUGACUGGGCGGUGAGCUCUUUCAAACCAAUUAAAUCCGCAGGGAUGGAUGGCAUCUUUCCUGCUCUUCUCCAGCAGGGUAAAGAUAUUAUCAAUGCUAAAUUAACAGACAUUUUUCGAGCCAGUAUCGCUCUUAGCUAUAUCCCAAAAGCUUGGAGAGAGGUACGGGUCAUAUUUAUUCCAAAAGUUGGGAAAAGGGACAAAACAAGUCCAAAAUUCUUCCGUCCAAUUAGUCUCUCUUCUAUUCUAUCCAGAUUUUUAAGCGAAAAUGGCGUUCGAAUGAUAAACGCCCGAAAUGUCAAAAUCACGCAGUGGUGCCAACAUUACGAAAAAAGUGUGCCAUGUAUGACAUCUACAUUUUAUUUUCUAAUGUUGGUGCUACUGCGCGAUUUUGACAUUUGGGACGUUCACCAUUCGAACGCCAUCUUUGCUUAAAAACCUGGAUAAAAUUCUUGAUGAUUUUGUAAAAAAAACGUUCAUGAUUAAAUUUCCUCUUAGUAAUAGCCAAUUUGCAUACCAAAGUGGUAAAUCUAAAUCUGCUUUAAACUGUUUAGUUUCUAAAAUUGAGAAGUCCCUCAAAGCCAAGGAAGUAGCUCUGGCUGCUUUCCUAGACAUUGAAGGAGCUUUUGAUAAUGCAUCUCACAGCUCUAUGCGUUCCGCCAUGGAAUCAAGGGGCUUUGGCUCAUGGAUUAUCAAAUGAAUUGUAACAAUGCUUAUUGAAAGGGAGAUAUCUGCCUACCUUGGAGGAGAACAAUUGGUAAUCAGACCACGGAGGGGAUGUCCACAAGGUGGAGUUCUAUCACCUCUGCUAUGGUCAUUAGUAGUCGACGAUCUUCUGAAAAAGUUGGCGAGUCUCGGCUUUGAACUGAUCAGCUAUGCGGAUGACAUCUGUAUAAUAGUUCGGGGAAAAAUAGGUAGCGAAAUUUGUAACCGAAUGCAAUCGGCCUUGAAUUUUUAUCUCAAAAUGGGGGUCUUGGUAUAAAUCCCUCUAAAACAGUUAUAAUACCGUUCACAAGACGAAGGACACUAGCACUACCUAAUCUUGCUAUUCGUGGGACAACCAUUGAGUAUUCUAACGAAGUGAAAUAUCUUGGUAUUACUUUAGAUAGGAAACUUAAUUGGAAUGCUCACCUGAAUAAUGUAUUAAACAAAGGAAUUAAUUCUCUAUGGCUGAGUAAAAAAACUUUUGGAAAAAAGUGGGGUCUCCGCCCUAAAAUGAUUUAUAGGAUAAAUACAUGUAUCGAGGUUUUUAAGCGAAGAUGUCGUUCGAAUAGUGAACGCCCGAAAUGUCAAAAUCACGCAGUGGUACCAACAUUACGGAACAAGUGUGCCAUGACAUGACAGCCAUAUUUUUUUUCUAAUGUUGGUGCUACUGCGCGAUUUUGACAUUUCGGGUGUUCACCAUUCGAACGCCAUCUUCGCUUAAAAACCUGGAUAGUUAGAACAAGAAUUACGUAUGCGUCACUUGUGUGGUGGCCAAAAGUUGAAGAAACAAUUGCACAAAAUAAAUUAGCUUAGCUGCAAAGAUUAGCCACCAUUUCAAUAACUGGAGCUAAGCAUGAAUGAUGAAGAUUUGACAGGGCACCUAAAAGUCCUUAAAAACUUGACCUUGAAUCCGGCGUUAAACUCAAUAGUAGACUGGAUGCCGACAAAGGCUAACUAUGACAUUCCGUUCACAGUGGACGCUAAAAGUCGCUACACACAAAAAAAUAUUACGGUAAUGACAAAAGUAACUUACUUUUGAAUUAAAAAGUUGUUAAAAUUUGCUACAUUAAAAGUCUUUUUCUUGUUUUGAAAAUGAAAACAUUUAAUGCUACAGUUUUUGAAAAUCUCAUUGCUCACUGAUUUAAAAGUUUUUACUUUUAAUUCGACUGUAAAAUUUCAUUCAUUUUGACGUUCUCGUGUAACCGUGUACGCCUUAGUCGCAAAUGUAAACAAACACUUUGGUGGUGCUGGUGAGUCUAGGACGCAAAGCAAAGCCGACCGUGGCAGCAGCCAGGAUUCGGAAGCGGAAACCUUCGUGAGCCAAACAGCAGCAGCGGAACGCCUUCGAAGGAGGGUAGUGCAGGAGCGGGACGAGGUCGAGUGCUCGGAAAGGACAAAACCAGCUUCCUGCAGGAACUGCAGCUGUUCCACGGCCGGAAUGCGAUGAGAGGUAGGAAUGUGGAUUCGCACCGGUUGUAUUGGGUGGUGGUGGCCCGGGAUUGAAGGUCAAUUCGCGGGAGGACUGGGGCGAGAUCAUCGAGGAGAUGGCGCUGCCGAAGCGUUGCGUGAACAACGAGAUUUCGUUGAAGAAGAUUAACUUCUGGUUUUGGACAAGUUCGCGAAAGUUUAUUUUCACGAUGGGCCUCCGACGAAGAGGAGGACGACGAAAAGCUACAUAUUGUCCGUUUCUCUCGAAGGUAUACGCCGCGCGGCAUUUCAGAAUGUGCCGCAGACACUGUUGCCAGCGAUUUUCUGCACUUUUGGUCCAAUAAAAACAUUCCCGGCAACAAUGCCAUGCAAUUCGAAGAAGAAGAUUAAUAAAAACAAAACGCAUAGUAUAAAGCUAUCUAAGCCCGAUCUCACAACCACUAACACACCAUUUGUUUUGCUGGCUGGUACAAAAUUUAACCUCACUUUUUUCGUGUACGUACACGCAAUACAUGCGCACGUAGAUAACUCUAUGGGAUUUGACAGCGCGCAUUUGCCGAAAGUGCGGCGCGUCGUUUCGAGGCUGGUAUGCCGCGUGUCUUUUUCGGGAAUACGCGCAAUAAUUGGAGGUGGUCAGUGCAGAUGUUGCACUCGGUGCCGGUGGUUUAAAGCACCGGUGAGUAUUGAGAAUGUGUGCAGUGGCUAGCCAACUUCACUUACUUUCCAUCUCUUAUAGCAAUUUCCCGCCCACAAACACUCACGUCGCGACGGCGCAGCUUCAGCCGAAUGAAUCUGGACAGUGAGCCAAAAAAAAUCUGUGUCAUUCUCGAAGUAGGAUUACGUGCUCAAAAUCGAACUCCGUUCCGAGGGCCUCAUCAACUCCAUGUUCCGGAUGCACUUCCAGCAUCAGGAACUCCCCGUUCAGGCACUUUACUUUCCAGCCGGGAAACGUCGACCAUCCUUCCCGAAUCAAUGGCCAACUCCUCCAAGACUGUCCUGAUUGAGGCCGGAAACGUGACCAUCGUGUUAAACUGCUGUCGCGCUUCGAAGCCUCCAUCCGGAACUGUCCAGCCUGGGGUAUUCGGAAGUGACCGGUGGCGUACCGUAUGAAACAGAAGCUAGUGGAGAAGCAAAAUCAAAUAUAAAAAAAAAUCAAACCAUC